UAAGCGGAGGAAAAGAAACUAACUAGGACUGCCCCAGUAGCGGCGAGUGAACAGGCAAAAGCUCAAAGUGAAAAUCCGUUGCAUAAAGUAAUGGAAUUGUAAUCUAGAGAGGUGUUCGGAGGUGAUCGGGCGUGGAAUAAGUUCCUUGGAACAGGACGUCAUAGAGGGUGAUAACCCCGUAGUCGUCUACGUCACGGACCCAACGAGCAUUUUCGAAGAGUCGGGUUGUUUGGGAUUGCAGCCCUAAAUGGGAGAUAAACUUCUUCUAAAGCUAAAUAUUUAUGGGAAACCGAUAGCGAACAAGUACUGCGAAGGAAAGGUGAAAAGAACUUUGAAAAGAGGGUUAAAAGACUUGAAAUCGUUGAGAAGAAAGUGGUAGAAGAGUAAUCAUUUGUGUACGAUAUUCGGGUUGCUUGGAGGAUUGGUAAGGCUUUAGUACUUCAUAGGCUGUGCUUUGCUAAAUCUGACUCGCUGCUUGUUAUUCGUAUGCAAGAGGCAAAAUGAGGUUAGUCGUCAGGAGUCGUCUAUUUAGAAGACCCUCGUGCUUGCAUGGGGAGCUAGGUAGAAAAACUGAAGACUAGUCUGAGGGGCCUGCGGGCGAUUUUGCCAAAGUGGCUUCUACUGUCCCGUCUUGAAACACGGACCAAG
This 648-nucleotide ribosomal RNA is filed under the name Oxyrrhis marina. RNAcentral describes it as "partial Eukaryotic large subunit ribosomal RNA". It matches the Rfam family "Eukaryotic large subunit ribosomal RNA", at positions 47 to 670 of the family's 3401-position model. The record is from RNAcentral. Lineage: Eukaryota; Dinophyceae; Oxyrrhinales; Oxyrrhinaceae.